Molecule: transfer RNA, 90 nt
Filed under: Heuchera richardsonii
Lineage: Eukaryota; Viridiplantae; Streptophyta; Magnoliopsida; Saxifragales; Saxifragaceae
Description: tRNA-Ile
Rfam family: tRNA (bases 19-90)
About the family: Transfer RNA (tRNA) molecules are approximately 80 nucleotides in length.
Source: RNAcentral
GUGGGAGGCCCGCACGACGGGCUAUUAGCUCAGUGGUAGAGCGCGCCCCUGAUAAGGGCGAGGUCUCUGGUUCAAGUCCAGGAUGGCCCA